This 432-nucleotide ribosomal RNA is filed under the name uncultured bacterium. RNAcentral describes it as "partial 16S ribosomal RNA". It matches the Rfam family "Bacterial small subunit ribosomal RNA", at positions 29 to 506 of the family's 1533-position model. The record is from RNAcentral.
AACGAACGCUGGCGGCAUGCCUAACACAUGCAAGUCGAACGAGACCUUCGGGUCUAGUGGCGCACGGGUGCGUAACGCGUGGGAAUCUGCCCUUGGGUUCGGAAUAACAGUUGGAAACGACUGCUAAUACCGGAUGAUGACGUAAGUCCAAAGAUUUAUCGCCCAAGGAUGAGCCCGCGUAGGAUUAGCUAGUUGGUGAGGUAAAGGCUCACCAAGGCGACGAUCCUUAGCUGGUCUGAGAGGAUGAUCAGCCACACUGGGACUGAGACACGGCCCAGACUCCUACGGGAGGCAGCAGUGGGGAAUAUUGGACAAUGGGCGAAAGCCUGAUCCAGCAAUGCCGCGGGAGUGAUGAAGGCCUUAGGGUUGUAAAGCUCUUUUACCCGGGAUGAUAAUGACAGUACCGGGAGAAUAAGCUCCGGCUAACUCCGG